Melanotaenia boesemani (Boeseman's rainbowfish) is the source of this 415-nucleotide long non-coding RNA. RefSeq lists it as uncharacterized. The transcript is spliced from 3 exons. The record is from RefSeq and is a predicted model, not a curated record. Lineage: Eukaryota; Metazoa; Chordata; Actinopteri; Atheriniformes; Melanotaeniidae.
UCACCAGGCUCUUACCGAUGUUCCUGCACAUACGGGCACAUCUUAGCUGGAGAUGGACACAGCUGCUUUUCAGAGUGUCCACCUGGAUACAGGAAACAAACAACCACACCUCCUGAGAAUUCAACUAAUCAAACACUGAAGGACGAAUGUGUAGAUAUAAAUGAAUGCCUCGAAGAUGUGUGUGAGUGGCAGUGUAUUAACCUGCCAGGCUCCCACCGCUGUAUCUGCCCGCGUGGAUACACACUCCAAAGAGAUGGGCUACACUGCAAAGACAUUAAUGAGUGCAAACGGAAGAACGGAGGCUGCUCCCAUCUGUGUGUGAACCGAAGAGGAGGGUAUAAAUGUGCUUGCCCACCCUCCCAUCGUCUGUCCUCAUACAGCUGGAAGAAAUGUUUGCCAAGGACAACAGAGGACA